UACGUAGGGUGCGAGCGUUAGUCGGAAUUACUGGGCGUAAAGGGUGCGCAGGCGGUCCCGCAAGUCAGGCGUGAAAUCCCCGGGCUUAACCUGGGAAUGGCACUUGAAACUACGGGACUGGAGUGUGGCAGAGGGAGGUGGAAUUCCACGUGUAGCGGUGAAAUGCGUAGAUAUGUGGAGGAACACCAAUGGCGAAGGCAGCCUCCUGGGUCAACACUGACGCUCAUGCACGAAAGCGUGGGGAGCAAACAGG
This 253-nucleotide ribosomal RNA is filed under the name uncultured bacterium. Its description in RNAcentral is "partial 16S ribosomal RNA". It matches the Rfam family "Bacterial small subunit ribosomal RNA", at positions 524 to 776 of the family's 1533-position model. The record is from RNAcentral.